RNAcentral lists this transfer RNA (79 nucleotides) under Symbiobacterium thermophilum IAM 14863. RNAcentral's name for it is "tRNA-Arg". It matches the Rfam family "tRNA". Rfam says of the family: Transfer RNA (tRNA) molecules are approximately 80 nucleotides in length. Lineage: Bacteria; Bacillati; Bacillota; Clostridia; Eubacteriales; Symbiobacteriaceae. The record is from RNAcentral.
GCGCCUGUAGCUCAGUGGACAGAGCAACCGCCUUCUAAGCGGUUGGCCGCAGGUUCGAAUCCUGCCAGGCGCACCAAGU